GUGCCAGCAGCCGCGGUAAGACAGAGGGUGCAAACGUUGUUCGGAAUUACUGGGCGUAAAGCGAGUGUAGGCGGUCUGAAAAGUCGGAUGUGAAAGCCCCGGGCUCAACCCGGGAAGUGCAUUCGAAACUGCCAGGCUAGAGUGUCGGAGAGGUUGGUGGAAUUCUCGGUGUAGAGGUGAAAUUCGUAGAUAUCGAGAGGAACACCGGUGGCGAAGGCGGCCAACUGGACGAACACUGACGCUGAGACUCGAAAGCGUGGGGAGCAAACAGGAUUAGAUACCCCCGUAGUCC
Molecule: ribosomal RNA, 292 nt
Filed under: uncultured bacterium
Lineage: Bacteria
Description: partial 16S ribosomal RNA
Rfam family: Bacterial small subunit ribosomal RNA
Source: RNAcentral